AUUCCAGCUCCAAUAGCGUAUAUUAAAGUUGUUGCAGUUAAAACGCUCGUAGUCGGAUUUCGGGGCGGGCCGACCGGUCUGCCGAUGGGUAUGCACUGGCCGGCGCGUCCUUCCACCCGGAGACCGCGCCUACUCUUAACUGAGCGGGCGCGGGAGACGGGUCUUUUACUUUGAAAAAAUCAGAGUGUUUCAAGCAGGCAGUCGCUCUUGCAUGGAUUAGCAUGGGAUAAUGAAAUAGGACUCUGGUGCUAUUUUGUUGGUUUACACACUUAGAGAAUGAUUAACAGGGACAGUUGGGGGUAUUCAUAUUUACAUGUCAGAGGUGAAAUUCUUGGAUUUUGGAAAGAUGAACUACUGCGAAGGCAUUUACCAAGGAUGUUUUCAUCG
Molecule: ribosomal RNA, 387 nt
Filed under: Gephyrocapsa sp.
Lineage: Eukaryota; Haptophyta; Isochrysidales; Noelaerhabdaceae
Description: partial small subunit ribosomal RNA
Rfam family: Eukaryotic small subunit ribosomal RNA
Source: RNAcentral